ACAGCCAUAACAAUAUUUUAUCACUUUAUUUGUUAUGAAUAAUUUCGCUGAUGAAAAAUAAUAAUAAAUAAUAAUAAUUUCGUUGAUGUUAAAGAUCAGUAUGUAAAAAGAAGAAGAAGAAGAAAAAAAAAAGAUGGGUAUGUUUGACAGAAAAAAAAAGAUGGGUAUGUAUUUUAAUAUUUUUAGUAACAAUUAAUUGAUGUAAGGGCAUGUCACCGAAAAAACCUUCCAGAAUUAUAUAUUCCCAAGAUCAGCUAUAAUGUACUUUACUAUAAUUAAGCCAACUGAUUAUAUGUAUAAAUUCCAUAAGUGAAUAUUCUUCGAUAAAUUAAUAAACACGAUAAAUUAAUAAUUUUUAGCAACUCUGAGCCGGUCAAGAAUUAUAUACAAUUCAAUAAGAUAAUAAUUUUUUGAAAAAUAUCAUGUAAAUAUAAAAUCUCAAUAUAAAAAUAAAUUCAUUUACAUUUACAGCAUGAACA
RNAcentral lists this long non-coding RNA (479 nucleotides) under Brassica rapa (field mustard). RNAcentral's name for it is "long non-coding RNA (BRAP_LNC000547)". Lineage: Eukaryota; Viridiplantae; Streptophyta; Magnoliopsida; Brassicales; Brassicaceae. The record is from RNAcentral.